This 409-nucleotide ribosomal RNA is filed under the name uncultured bacterium. RNAcentral's name for it is "bacterial SSU rRNA". It matches the Rfam family "Bacterial small subunit ribosomal RNA", at positions 505 to 916 of the family's 1533-position model. The record is from RNAcentral.
GUGCCAGCCGCCGCGGUAAUACGGAGGAUUCGAGCGUUAUCCGGAUUUAUUGGGUUUAAAGGGUGCGUAGGCGGAUUUGUAAGUCAGUGGUGAAAGUUUCCGGCUUAACCGGGAGAAUGCCGUUGAGACUGCAGGUCUUGAGUGCAAGCGAGGUAAGUGGAAUGUGUUGUGUAGCGGUGAAAUGCAUAGAUAUAACACAGAACACCGAUUGCGAAGGCAGCUUACUAGUAUGUAACUGACGCUGAGGCACGAAAGCGUGGGGAGCAAACAGGAUUAGAUACCCUGGUAGUCCACGCAGUAAACGAUGAAUACUAGCUGUAUGCGAUAGACAGUAUGCGGCGCAGCGAAAGCAUUAAGUAUUCCACCUGGGGAGUACGUCGGCAACGAUGAAACUCAAAGAAAUUGACGG